UGAUACUUAGCAGGUGCAGCAUCCCACAGU
This 30-nucleotide non-coding RNA is filed under the name Mus musculus (house mouse). Lineage: Eukaryota; Metazoa; Chordata; Mammalia; Rodentia; Muridae. The record is from RNAcentral.